GUAGUGGCGAACGAAAAGGAAUGAGCCCAGCGCAGAACGUUCCGGGGCACUCGCCCUGAGAAUGAAUGUUGCGUUAAGGAUAUUGGCAUACACCCAUGGCAGUUACACUUUGCUAAGUCAGCCUCGAAUGGUUCUCGUGAAGCCGGUAACACGGUGAGACUCCAGGGAGGGUGUUAGACCCGUGUGAAGGUGCAAUCUGCUUGGGCAAGCCGAUAUCCCGAGAGUCGCGUUGUUUGAACAUGCAGCGCUAAGCAGGUCGUAGACUCGAUCUAAGGCUAAAUAUGUCCACAGAACCGAUAGUUAACAAGUACCGUGAGGGAAAGUUGAAAAGCACUCCGUAACGGAGAGUCAAAAGACCGUGAAACCACUCAGAGUAUAAGCCAAUGGUGUCUGGAAGGUCCUGUGCUUACAUCUUGGUGUCAAGGACUCAUGCGAACCUCAGCACUUGCGGGAGCAAUCUCCGUUGCUUUGGUAAGCUUGUCCGCUGAAGCACUCCGUUGACCCACCUGGCUCGUUGUGAGGUGUCCUGAGAGCAAAGCGAAGUGUUAAGAUUGGCUUGGAGUUGGGCGUGGGCGUCUCGAUGCCUUUCGCACUCUCCUUUUCGAGCACUUCUUCAGUUCUAUUCGCACAAAGUGUGGUAGUCUUGGAGUGUGCGCUGCUUGACGCUCUCUGGAACCAUCCUCUGCGACGAAGCUUCAAUGCCUUAGUGAGCGGCCGUCUUCCUCCUCGGGAGUCGGUACAUUGGCGCGGCUUGCACACUGUCGGUGCUCCGCUGUUCAACUCUGGCGCAAGGUGUUACGUCCGAUACCAUUGGUCACGUCUCGAAACACGGGCCAAGGAGUAUAGCGUGUGUGCAAGUCUAAGGGUUCCACAAAACCUGGAGGCGUAGUGAAAGCGAGUUAUGGUGUCUCACUGGACUGAUGGAGAAGGCAGUGAUGCGUGAUCCCGCAAGUCCCGGACUCGUCGUCUGCACUGCUUCGGUUGUGUUAGCGCGAGCACCGCAGAGCACAUACGCUAUGACCCGAAAGAUAGUGAACUAUGCUUGGCGAGGGUGAAGCCCCAGGAAACUGGGGUGGAGGCCCGUAGCCGUUGUGACGUGCAAA
This 1103-nucleotide ribosomal RNA is filed under the name Paracaprella pusilla. RNAcentral describes it as "partial large subunit ribosomal RNA". It matches the Rfam family "Eukaryotic large subunit ribosomal RNA", at positions 83 to 897 of the family's 3401-position model. Lineage: Eukaryota; Metazoa; Arthropoda; Malacostraca; Amphipoda; Caprellidae. The record is from RNAcentral.